RNAcentral lists this ribosomal RNA (728 nucleotides) under Arthrobacter sp. LMR291. Its description in RNAcentral is "bacterial SSU rRNA". It matches the Rfam family "Bacterial small subunit ribosomal RNA", at positions 88 to 829 of the family's 1533-position model. Lineage: Bacteria; Bacillati; Actinomycetota; Actinomycetes; Micrococcales; Micrococcaceae. The record is from RNAcentral.
GGGAUUAGUGGCGAACGGGUGAGUAACACGUGAGUAACCUGCCCUUAACUCUGGGAUAAGCCUGGGAAACUGGGUCUAAUACCGGAUAUGACUCCUCAUCGCAUGGUGGGGGGUGGAAAGCUUUUUGUGGUUUUGGAUGGACUCGCGGCCUAUCAGCUUGUUGGUGAGGUAAUGGCUUACCAAGGCGACGACGGGUAGCCGGCCUGAGAGGGUGACCGGCCACACUGGGACUGAGACACGGCCCAGACUCCUACGGGAGGCAGCAGUGGGGAAUAUUGCACAAUGGGCGCAAGCCUGAUGCAGCGACGCCGCGUGAGGGAUGACGGCCUUCGGGUUGUAAACCUCUUUCAGUAGGGAAGAAGCGAAAGUGACGGUACCUGCAGAAGAAGCGCCGGCUAACUACGUGCCAGCAGCCGCGGUAAUACGUAGGGCGCAAGCGUUAUCCGGAAUUAUUGGGCGUAAAGAGCUCGUAGGCGGUUUGUCGCGUCUGCCGUGAAAGUCCGGGGCUCAACUCCGGAUCUGCGGUGGGUACGGGCAGACUAGAGUGAUGUAGGGGAGACUGGAAUUCCUGGUGUAGCGGUGAAAUGCGCAGAUAUCAGGAGGAACACCGAUGGCGAAGGCAGGUCUCUGGGCAUUAACUGACGCUGAGGAGCGAAAGCAUGGGGAGCGAACAGGAUUAGAUACCCUGGUAGUCCAUGCCGUAAACGUUGGGCACUAGGUGUGGGGGA